RNAcentral lists this small RNA (2436 nucleotides) under Pan troglodytes (chimpanzee). Its description in RNAcentral is "processed transcript". Lineage: Eukaryota; Metazoa; Chordata; Mammalia; Primates; Hominidae. The record is from RNAcentral.
CAGAGUUUGAAAAAACGGAUGGAAGUACCAGACUAUGAAAUGUUCCCAGCAAGUUCUUCAUCUCCAUCUGAGACCACCUCAGCCUGGAUUUCAUUGUCCAUGUCAUUAUCAGCAUUUUGGUCCAAGCCAUUCAACAAGUCUCUAGGAAGUUCCAAACUGUCCAACAUUUCCCUGCCUUCUUCUGAGCCCUCCAAACUGUUCCAACCUCUGCCAGUUCCAAAGUUGCUUCCACAUUUUCAGGUUCACCAGGCUGGUUUAACCUGCGAUUAUUCAGAACUUCCUCACCAUAUCAGCACAGAACAAGAAAUAGAGUGUCUUAUUCAAUCUGUGCAUUAUUUACUGAAAAAUUUACCAAAUCCUACUCUUGUGACAAUUGCAAGGUCAAGUCUGGAUGAUUACUGUCCUUCUGACCAAGUUGACACUAUUCAAGAAAAGGUCCUCAAUAUGCUACGUGCCCUCUAUGGAAAUCUAGACCUCCAAGUGUAUGCAGCAGAGUCUCCUCCAUCUUGAAACAAACAAAACAUUAGGCUCCUGUUGUAUCUUGGUUUAGUAACAGGCCUUUAAUUAACUUAUUUGUAAAUGAGUCUUCCAGAGAACACUGUUUUAUAUUAACUUUCAGUUGAAAUCCUUCAGAUAUUUUGAAUCUCUAAACAACCAUUGUCAGUUGUGGAAUGAUGGUAAAUUUUUUGGCAUCAAGUCUAAUAACCCCAACUGAUAGAACUGUUGCUUAUCUGUCUUCCUUAAGUAUUUUUUAGGGUUUUGUUAUUUGCUUUUUUUUUUUUUUUUUUCACUUUUCCCCCAGGUCUAUUGGGCUGUAUGAGAUUCAUUCAUACUUCAUUUAUUCAUUCAACUAAUAUUUAUUGAACACUUACAUGUACCAGACAUUAUUAAGUGCUGGGUAUAUGGUAAUGAACAGAAUAGACAAGGCCCCUGCCCUUUUAGGGGAGACAGAUGAGAAGUAAAUUACAGGUUAUGAGAAAUGUUAUGAAGGAAAGGACAACAACCGACAUGUCUUAGUACUUAGGGUAUCAUGGCUUUAUAGGAAAGUAACAUUCUCUCUCUUUUUUUUUUUUUAAUUUUAUAAAAAUAGAGAUGGGGUCUCACCAUGUUACCCAGGCUGGUCUCAAACUCCUGGGCACAAGCAAUCCACCUGCCUUCACCUCCCGAAGUGCUGGGAUUACAGGUGUGAGUCACUGCCCCAGCCAGAAACUAACAUUCUCAAAAGCUACUACCAAAAAAACCCCACAAAUUUGCCAAUCCAUGAAAGUAUCAUAGGAAGUCUACCUUUCCAAGGAAUUUGGCAUUGUGGCCCUGCUCUUGCCAAAUGCUCUCCAGCAUUGUUGGUAUCAAGGUGGUCUGGUUGAGUAAACUUGACCAAACAAAAAUUAACUGUUUUUUGCUUUUCUGUUUUUGUUUUGCUGAUCAAAAAAGCCCUUCAGGGUCUUUUGUGCCUCCAGGAGGUCGUUGUAGAUAUCAAUAAUAUAGUGCCUAAGUGCCACUUUAUUGGCAAGUCUAGAUUGAUACUUUUUUCAGAUAAACCAGCUUUUUAUGUAAAGAGUAAGGGAAAAAGUUAAAUCUUUAAUUCUGACCUGCCAUAAAUACCCAAAGAUAUAAACUGUCUUCCACCACCCCCCUCAUAACUAAGACAUCCUUCCUGAGUCACUCUUAAUCAUGAAACUUGAUUUUCUCAAUUGGCCAGUCUUCUGAUCUUUAGUAUCUCUUUAGUUCAGUAAUUUUUACCUACCUACUUGAUUUAUUUUCCUUUAAAAGGUGAAAUGACAUUUAAAGAAAAACACCCAUCAUUCCUCAGUCCCAACACAGCAGUUCUUUUCACUCUUGCUUGUAACUUUCAGGCCUUACCCACAUGUGUUCCUAUAGAGUUGCAUGUAGCUAAAAUUAUAGUGUGCUGCCUAACUUUGUGCUAAUAACCAAGGACACACAUUAUCAUUGCCUCUCAGUGGAUGGCACCUGACCCCAUUUUUCCAAGGAUUCUAUUUUCCAGUGAAUUUUUGUCAACGAGUUAAUUUCCCAAGUCUGAUAGCAUGAAUGCUUAUUUGUGCUGUGAAAAGCAGAGCAGCCUGACUCAGCUUUCCAUUUUCAUAGGAUAAUAUGUGCCAAAAAAGGUUUAUUUUCUUGGUAAAAUCAGAAUUGUAGAAUUGUGCUAUUUUUAAUUUUUUAAAUGUUUGGUUAGAGCUUAUAGACAUUACUUUUAUGAUUAUUUUGUGUGCUAAAUAAGUUAAAGGGUAUGUUUUGAACUAUAGCACUAAUUAAUGUGUGUGAUCUUAGUAUAUUGAUAGCUUUGAUUUUGUGAGUGGUUUACUAGUCAUUUAUUAUGAUUCCCAUGAACUCUGAUAUGAUUCAUUGUGGUUUUAACUCAGGUUGAAUAAAAGCAUCCAUUUCUUUUAUAGGAAGGUUUGUUUAAUUCUCAUGUUCUGU